CACUGACAGUAAUGGAAGUUUUAUGCCUGAAUUUGCAUGUGCUGGGAUGAAAACACACCACAUGGAGAAGGGUAGGAAGAUGAGAAAUGGAGCUGGAAUGGAUGAAUGGAUAAACUGAAUAGCUUGAAAUUACCAGGGAUUCCUCAGCCUGAUCAUGAACAGCUUUUCUGCCUUAAAAGAGAACACGAGCCUUUCUCCAAGGCGCAGCUUCCGAAUUCCAGUCACUGAGUACGCAUGGCCAACAACAAGCCCCAUCUCUGUCUCCACCUCACUAGAACGGCCAGAGGACACCUGGAGCACCAAGAAUGACAAUUAAAAAGUAGAACUCACAUCACUGAGGGACUUGAGAGCUACAAACUCAAGGGGCAAGACAAGGAAGGCUUGUUUGCUGUUCCCUUCCCAAGUGAUUUGACUGUCCAGGAAAAUAACAGCACUGGGGCUCAUAGUGGCUCGCUGGUCUGGUGCUGUGCAGGAUACUGCUGGAAAAUUCCUACCAGGCAGAAACCCAGAGCUUAGGGGAAUCCUGCCUGCUACAGCUAUUUUUGUCUCUUCCUGGCCUCAAGAGUUAAAGAAUUCCAAAAUCUUGUAAUCUUUACAAAAUUACUCUUCUGGAUAUUGGUGACUGUGCUCAGGCUGUCCAGUGGUAUCCUCAACUGGACACUCCGUAGGGCCUAAGAAUUGAGCUCAUGAGUCCAAUGGCUGUUUCUGUGUUGGAGUCAAUUUGAUAUCCCAGAAGAACUACUGCUGGUAGAUAAAAAUAGAGGUCACAGGCAAUAAAUCUUUCUAUCCAUUUGUCAAACCUGUCCUGUACCUCUCUUACUUGGCAACGGGCAGAGCUGCAGAUUUAUUUAGGAGCUGGGUUUGCUCCUCAUGAACUUCACACAAGCAGCCUAGUUUCUAGCAGUGAUCAGGCAGUAAACUGUCCUGAUGGAUGACCUAGGCCUGACCAGAAGUUGAUCUAAGAAUACAUAAAAAUUGUCAAGUUCUGAAAAAUACGACAAUUUCAUUUAAUGCAUCCAAAUCUCCUAAUCUACCCAGAAAAGCAGUAUCAUAUAAAGAUGCUGGAGUUGCUUUGACGGACUGGCCCUUUACAAAGCCAGCACAAUGCUGCUUCUGAGCAACACAGACCGGGCAGGACAGUGGAGAAAAUAAAGCUGUGCCAGUGUUAUAACCCUUCUUCUGAGCCAGGAACAAUCCAAAUGGUCCUGCCUCUGGCUUCUUCACACCCUCACUGGAGCCAGCAUGGGCAUCCUUGCACUGGGCCAUAGCUAGAGAUUCUCUCAUCUAUACUGGACUAUAACCCAUUGGGCCUGAAGACACUCACUCCCUUGGACAGCAAGGAAGGAAGAUUUGACUCAGUGCAGAUCCUUAUGUGUAAACUUGUAAUAACCUAAUUAAUGAUCAAUCAAGCCUUUGCUGUGGCAAAGAGAGCAAGAGUUAUGACUCUUAGUGCUAUUAAUGUACAUAUUUAAAUAUAUAUUAUUUAUUGUUUAUCAUUAUACAGUAAUAAUUAUUAAAAAUAUAUAAAUAUUUCAAUAUCAACAAGGACUUAUCAGAGUUAUGCUAUGCAGACAUUUUUACCCAUUUAAAAAUUUAACUGGUCUAAACAGAGUCCUUCUCCUAAAGCAAGAGUUGCACUGAUAUAAGAAUGUUCAGUUCCUAAAGGUAAAAAAUAA
Molecule: long non-coding RNA, 1676 nt
Organism: Corapipo altera (White-ruffed manakin)
Lineage: Eukaryota; Metazoa; Chordata; Aves; Passeriformes; Pipridae
Exons: 2
Source: RefSeq, a predicted model, not a curated record